UCCUGGAACCAGUCCUCGCCCACCGCCAGCGACCGCCGGAUCGCCAUCUGACUGAUGAGCCACUUCCGAGCGGGGAGUUCGGCACCUGGGACAGAAGGGAACGCCCAGGCAGGCCUCUGGGUUAGAGCAGAAAGGAGGCCGAGGGAGCCGCCUGCCUGCCUGCCUGCCUCCCCGCGUCGCGUACACCAGGCCCCCAGACCUCAGACUUGGGUCUCCGGAUGAUGUUGUUGGACUACAACUCCCAUCGUCCCCAGCCACACUGGCCCUGUCUGAGAACCCCUGGGGUACACCAUUAGCGGUGGCCAUCCAUCUCCCAGAGGAGGACCCCAAAGAGAGUGUCCUCCAGCCCCAUACAAAGCCCUGGACAUCAUGCCGUGGAGGAAGGACUUGAUUUGUGUCAGACUCAACCACUUCGUUUUCACGGUGGGUCCUGGGAUGUGUAAAAUUAUAAAGGAAAGGGAUUCUGAGCCAGCGUGGAGUGCCAUUCGGUCACCACUGAGUAACCACGGUCUGUCCCCGGCAACACUUCAGAAAAAGAGCAGGGCUGCAAGAGGCAGAUGAUGAUUCCCAGGCAGACAUUGAUGGCUAGAACCUGCUUGUUUAAAUGAAGAUUGACAUCAGCCACCAUGGGGGACAGAGACAGGAGCUUUGCAGUUGAUUGGCAAGGAAGAGUCUUGGGGAGGCUCCAGAGGCAAGCUGUCUGCUUUUGGGGAACUGAUCCUGCUUUGAAGAUGAGCACUGUUUGCCUGGCACUAGCUUGCUACCCCUGCUCAACUUGUAUAUUUUUGUCAAUAAACAGACAUGGCAGAUCACCA
This is a long non-coding RNA of Hemicordylus capensis (graceful crag lizard), 815 nucleotides long. RefSeq lists it as uncharacterized. The record is from RefSeq and is a predicted model, not a curated record. The transcript has 2 exons. NCBI's taxonomy places the organism in Eukaryota, Metazoa, Chordata, Lepidosauria, Squamata, Cordylidae.